CAUCUGUUCACAGUUUUAAUAUGAAGUAAUUUUAUCAAAAAUUUUAACUUGAAAAAUUUUAUACAAUUUGGAUAAAGUGGCUCUCGUGCAUCCUUUACAAGCUUUGCAAACUGUUCAAAAGUCCCUUCUACCUCAAGCCGGAUAUUUUGUUUAUGAUCAGAAUUGCUUUCAAAUACAGUAGUACUCAUGUGUAUAUUUGA
RNAcentral lists this long non-coding RNA (200 nucleotides) under Elaeis guineensis (African oil palm). RNAcentral's name for it is "long non-coding RNA (EGUI_LNC077216)". Lineage: Eukaryota; Viridiplantae; Streptophyta; Magnoliopsida; Arecales; Arecaceae. The record is from RNAcentral.